UACGUAGGGUGCGAGCGUUGUCCGGAAUUAUUGGGCGUAAAGAGCUCGUAGGCGGUCUGUCGCGUCGGCUGUGAAAACCCGGAGCUCAACUCCGGGCCUGCAGUCGAUACGGGCAAACUGGAGUGUUGCAGGGGAGACUGGAAUUCCUGGUGUAGCGGUGAAAUGCGCAGAUAUCAGGAGGAACACCGGUGGCGAAGGCGGGUCUCUGGGCAACAACUGACGCUGAGGAGCGAAAGCGUGGGGAGCGAACAGG
Molecule: ribosomal RNA, 253 nt
Filed under: uncultured bacterium
Lineage: Bacteria
Description: partial 16S ribosomal RNA
Rfam family: Bacterial small subunit ribosomal RNA
Source: RNAcentral